RNAcentral lists this ribosomal RNA (396 nucleotides) under uncultured bacterium. RNAcentral describes it as "partial 16S ribosomal RNA". It matches the Rfam family "Bacterial small subunit ribosomal RNA", at positions 523 to 918 of the family's 1533-position model. The record is from RNAcentral.
AUACGUAGGUGGCAAGCGUUGUCCGGAAUUAUUGGGCGUAAAGCGCAUGUAGGCGGUUUCUUAAGUCGGUCGUGAAAAUCCGGGGCUUAACGCCGUAUGGCCAUCGAAAAUGCUGAACUUGAGUGCAGGAGAGGAAAGGGGAACUCCCAGUGUAACGGUGAAAUGGGUAGAUAUUGGGAAGAACACCGGUGGCGAAGGCACCUUUCUGGAGUCUGUCUGACGCUCAGAUGCGAAAGCCAGGGGAGCGAACGGGAUUAGAUACCCCGGUAGUCCUGGCCGUAAACGAGAGGUAUUAGGUGUGGGAGGUAUCGACUCCUUCCGUGCCGAAGUUAACGCAAUAAGUACCCCGCCUGGGGAGUACGGCCGCAAGGCUUAAACUCAAAUGAAUUGGCGGGG